This 447-nucleotide ribosomal RNA is filed under the name uncultured bacterium. RNAcentral's name for it is "bacterial SSU rRNA". It matches the Rfam family "Bacterial small subunit ribosomal RNA", at positions 329 to 792 of the family's 1533-position model. The record is from RNAcentral.
AGCCAGACUCCUACGGGAGGCAGCAGUGGGGAAUAUUGCACAAUGGGGGAAACCCUGAUGCAGCGACGCCGCGUGAGUGAAGAAGUAUUUCGGUAUGUAAAGCUCUAUCAGCAGGGAAGAAAAUGACGGUACCUGACUAAGAAGCCCCGGCUAACUACGUGCCAGCAGCCGCGGUAAUACGUAGGGGGCAAGCGUUAUCCGGAUUUACUGGGUGUAAAGGGAGCGUAGGUGGCAUGGUAAGCCAGAAGUGAAAACCCGGGGCUCAACCCCGCGGAUUGCUUUUGGAACUAUCAGGCUGGAGUGCUGGAGGGGUAAGCGGAAUUCCUAGUGUAGCGGUGAAAUGCGUAGAUAUUAGGAGGAACACCGGUGGCGAAGGCGGCUUACUGGACAGAAACUGACACUGAGGCUCGAAAGCGUGGGGAGCAAACAGGAUUAGAUACCCGAGUA